AGAUAAAUAAUUUAAAGCUUCUAACUUUAAUAAAGUCUCACUGACUAUUAUCUU
This 54-nucleotide transfer RNA is filed under the name Thrips imaginis (plague thrips). RNAcentral's name for it is "tRNA-Ser". The record is from RNAcentral. Lineage: Eukaryota; Metazoa; Arthropoda; Insecta; Thysanoptera; Thripidae.